Molecule: RNA transcript, 3318 nt
Organism: Brassica rapa (field mustard)
Lineage: Eukaryota; Viridiplantae; Streptophyta; Magnoliopsida; Brassicales; Brassicaceae
Gene name: exocyst complex component EXO70A1
Source: RefSeq, a predicted model, not a curated record
AACAUAUUAUGCGGGUCCCAGACGUGUAAUAAUGUGUUAGUCCGGUCUUGUGGCUGAUUUCUAAGUUCAUGGACCCGAUUAAUAUAAUUGAUAAAAGAUAUCUUAUAUUUUAUAAUUAUUUUGUUAAUAGUUAUGUGAGAUCUAUCAAUUUUUGAAAUGAAAUUACCAGUUUGUUUUGAUUCUGGUUUAACUUGUUUUGAAACAUUUAAUAACCUAAAUGCUAAGAAUAGAUACAUAUGCGAGUUGUAUUCUUUUUCUUUUAGUUAAGCAGGUAUGGUCCACCAACCACAUCUCGGUAUCAGGUUUGACAAUGAACAUGUAUUUUAGCUGGUUUUCGACUAUUCAAAAACAUAUUAAAAGAAGGGGAAAAUAGCAUUUCCAUUAUAAUAAUUUGGAAAAAAAUUCUCGCCAAAUUAGUACGUUCUUAUCCACAGGUAAUUUGAUUACAAAAAAUGUCAAAAUAUAAUAUUGAUGUCCUUGCCAACACUGUCCAACCACGUCAUAGUACUUUCAACUUUGGAAGAAAACAAAAACAAAAAUUAUAAAUAAUGAAAUUCUGAUUCCUGAAUUUAUUAGCACGGAAACUAAUACACUAAUUUGUUUUCUAAUAUUUUUUGAACGGCUACAUUGAUUUGUUUUUUUUUUCAAAAUAAAUUAUUUCACAAAUUUUCUUUUACUUAUGAUUAAGAUAAGGAAUUCAAAAAGAAAGUUUCCAAAAUUACUGGAUUCAAAUAAUAACCCCACUACAAAUCAAAAGAUCAUAAUAAGACAUGAUUGGACUAUCAACAUGUGUCUCUUUUAAAAGAAAGUGGGGGCUUUUUUAGUUUAGGCAUAAUAGCAUUUAUUACAAGAUUUUCACCAGUUAAGAAGCUUGUCGGAAAGUUAUAAAAAAUUUCCGGGAAAUUGCACCGCCGGCGAGUAAUUCGGAAAGUUACACGAGCAGAAAGUUGAAAAGUCCCAAAAAGACUAUUUUUCCACACACACAAAAAAAAAAAACAAUACUACAAUACAAAAAACAGACAGCUUGUUGCUUUAUUACAAGAAGACUUCUUCAGAUGAACAAAACGAUAUUUAUUUUAUUAAAAAAAUAAUAAUAGCUAGAGUUUGGUUUCUUACAAGUAUCUCCUUGAGGCGUAUCUGAAUCCGAAAAGAGAUGGAAUCACCGGAGAACAGUGUUGGUUUCGAUUCCGACGGCUCGUUAGAGACGGCGGAGAGGAUAAUACUCCGAUGGGACUCAACAGCUUCCGAAGAAGCGAGAGGGAAGAUGAUAUUCCAAAGCGAUCGUGACGAAGUAGAUCGGUUCUUGAGAGCCGUAGAUGAAAUCCAACGGUCCGUGUCAUCUCUCUCCUUCUCCUCUCCUCCUUCCUUUUCCUCCGCCGCCACCGAUGACCAAGAAGUCAAAGCCAACUCAGCUCUCCAAAUCGCGAUGGCUAGGCUCGAGGAAGAGUUCCGCAACAUCCUCCUCUCCCAAACAUCAGUCUUCGAGCCUGACUCUCUCUUCCUCGAGGAGGAGUCAUCAGUCUCCUGCGAAGACAGCACUGAUGCUCCCCCCGAAGAAGAACAAGAAGGUUCCGAUUCCAAUUCCGGUUCAAGCCGGUUAACGCGUAGGAGAAGCAGUUACAGAUCUACAAGCAGCAUACGCGAGAUGGAUCUCAUCUCCCCCGAAGCAGUUUCCGACUUGAGAUCGAUCGUUCAGAGAAUGGUCGCCGCCGGCUACUCCCGCGAAUGCAUCCAGGUGUACGGAAACGUCCGCAAAUCCGCAAUGGAUACGAUCCUCAAGCAGCUAGGGAUCGUCAAGAUCAGCAUCGGAGACGUGCAGAAGCUCGAGUGGGAAGUGGUGGAAGGAAAAAUCAGAAAGUGGAUCCGCGCGGCGAAGGUCUGCGUGAGGAUCGUCUUCUCAAGCGAGAAGAGACUCUGUUCCGACCUCUUCGACGAACCGAUGGAUGCCACGUGUUUCAUGGAGACGGUGAAAACGUCCGCUCUACGCCUCUUUACUUUCCCCGAAGCGAUAAGCAUCAGCAGAAGAUCGCCCGAGAAGCUUUUCAAGAUUCUCGAUCUGCACGAUGCUAUGGGUGACAUGAUGCCCGACAUCGAAGCGAUUUUCGACUCGGAUGAUGAUUCGUCAUCAUCGCGAGCCGUCUACCUCCAAGCUGGGGAGAUUCAGACCAGGCUCGCGGAGGCGGCGAGAGGGAUACUCUCGGAGUUCGAAAACGCCGUCCUCCGCGAGCCGUCUGUAGUCCCCGUCCCUGGAGGGACUAUUCAUCCUCUGACGAGGUAUGUAAUGAACUACAUCAGCUUGAUAUCCGAUUACAAGCAGACUCUCAACAACCUCAUCGUGUCGGAUCCGUCAACCGGAUCCGAUCCCAACCCCAACGCGCCGGUGAUUGACUUCACCGAGCUGGACGGUAAGUCACCGUUGGCGUUGCAUCUGAUCUGGCUGAUCAUGGUGCUGCAUUUCAACUUGGAGGAGAAGUCGCACCACUACAGAGACGCGUCCCUAGCUCACAUCUUCAUCAUGAACAACAUUCACUACAUAGUCCAGAAGGUGAAAGGAUCCCCGGAGCUGAGGGAGAUGAUAGGAGACCAUUAUUUGAGGAAACUCACGGGGAUAUUCAGGCACGCGGCGACUAACUACCAGAGAUCGACGUGGGUCAGAGUGCUGAAUAGCUUGAGAGACGAAGGGUUGCACGUGAGUGGGAGUUUCUCGUCUGGUGUUUCGAGGAGCGCGUUGAGAGAGAGGUUUAAAGCGUUUAAUGCAAUGUUGGAAGAUGUUCAUAGGACUCAGUCUACGUGGUCGGUUCCGGAUGCGCAGCUUAGAGAGGAGCUGAGGAUAUCUUUGUCUGAGCAUUUGAUCCCGGCGUAUAGAUCGUUUCUUGGGAGGUUUAGGGGGAAUAUAGAGAGUGGGAGACAUCCUGAGAACUACUUGAAGUAUUCGGUCGAAGAUAUUGACAGGAUCGUUCUUGAUUUCUUUGAAGGGUAUGCACACCCGCCAAACUUGAGGAGACGAUGAUGAAAGAAGAAGAUAUGGAGAGGUUUACUUUCUCUCUUUUGUUUUGUUUUGUUUUGGUUCUUUUGGUUCUCAGCCAUGUUAGGAUGUUGUUGUAGGAUAGAGCCAUUCUUUGAAUUUUUAUUCACGGGUUAGUUCCCUAUUGUGCCCGAUGGAAUAAUCUUCAGCCAACGAGACCAUGUCUGAACAAGGGCCUUUGUUUGCAAAGUGUUAGCCAACGGCCAGAGCUUUUCUUCAGAAGUUCACUAAAGAAAAGACUUUGGGCAUUGUCAACCAAAUUGCAAUAUUAGGAAAAGACUUGUGAAAUUUUU